Molecule: unclassified non-coding RNA, 445 nt
Filed under: Hevea brasiliensis (rubber tree)
Lineage: Eukaryota; Viridiplantae; Streptophyta; Magnoliopsida; Malpighiales; Euphorbiaceae
Source: RNAcentral
CUGCAAGAAACAAACCGUAAGGAAGAAUAAGACAAAUUGUUGUAUAUCAAAUCCAAGAAUAAUUAUGGCAUAUACUUUUCUCCAGCCAUGGAUGAAUAUUUGUUAAAUUAUAAUCUAUUGCAAAGUUAAAUAGCAUUCUUGAGGUCAACAAUGAAACUAAGACCACAUCCAGGGAGUCGAUGUAUUUCAUUUCCAUUCUCUAACUAAAAAAAAUUAUCAGCCCAACAACAAAAUUAAUUUACUUUGCUGCUAUUCCAAUAUAUACCAUUUAAAACUUAUUUUAUAUAGAUCUUUAUUCUGUCCAUCCCAACAGGAAAUACAAGUGCAAUGCUACAUAAUUACAGAGACAAUGUUAUAAAACAGUGGAAAUAUGGGCACAAAAGAUUGAUAUUUACUUUCUCUGGCAUAACUUCUUUAUUUAACUCUUUGGAUGCAUAAGAAGAAG